AACCUAUUUAUCUAACAUUUUAUAAUAUUUUUUUAAUUUAGUGUUUCUUUUCUUUUAUAAUUAACCCACUGCCCUCCCAUCUCAUAUACGCCAUUUGCAGACCACCUCCUUCCCUCCGAGCGUACGUACUAUAUGGACGAUCCUUUUUCAAAGAAUUUUUAUUUUUUAUUUUUGAGGUAUAAAGUUUAUGUUAACAGUUUUAUAACAAGCAAAAUAAAUAAACAAAGGGGGUCUUUAUAAGCUUGGGGUGGAUUGGAAAAUUUUCAAAAAAUAAUUAAACGUUCAACCCCUCCUUUUAUUAAGGACUCGAGAGUACAUUAUAAAUCAGUCAAAACUAUUAUUAUUAUUAAAGUUAUUCACUAAUAUAUCAUGCACUUACUUCAUCACGCAUCAUAUUAUUAAUCACUAAUAUUGUAUGCGUGGGCUUCACCGAUCAUAUUUUGUAAAAUCAAUUCACCCAAAGCGUCAAUAAUGACACAUAUAAUGAUUGUGACAUAUAAAUACAUAAUACAGUCAUUAUUUCUAAAAUCAAUUGAUGUUUCACGUCAUUUGAUUUUACAAAGAAUGAUUGUAUCAUGUUUCUACAUAAUCAUAUUUUGUAAUUGUAUUAUGUAUAUAAUCAAAUUUUGUAAUUAUUAUAUUUUUUUAUAGUCAUAUUUUCAAAAAUCAAUUGACGCUUCACGUCAAUUAAUUUUACAAAAUAUGAUUGGUUGUUAUUUAUUUAAGCCCAUGCAUAUUUCUAGUUAAUAAAUCAAUAUAAAAGAGCAGGUUUCUUGAAUUAUUAGAAUCAUUUAGCAGUUUCUAUUUUUCCAGUUAACAAACAACGAAGAGAUAUAACUUCUAAAAUUUUUUAUCGCAAUGAUUGCGUCUCUGGUAUUCAUUUUAUUAAUAGUAAGCUCUGCGUGUUUACAUAAAAAUCCAAAUGUCAUUUCUUUGAAAGAGGAUUCCGGUUUAUCCAUCGAAGAUCAAAAAGAGACCGCUACUGUAAAGACCCAACUGUGAAUGAAAAGCGAUUGUUUGAUUGUGAUCACAACUGCUGGUACAAUAAUUGGAAACACCGUGACCAGAGAGCAAAAAACGAAAAUAUGUUUAAUCGCCGUUGCUCGUAUGCCCAUUGGUUUGGUAGAUGCUACUGCUAUGGUCCUCCUCGCUGCUAAUUUUUCAACGUUGUUAAAAUUUUUUUGUAUCACAUAAUUUAAUACAUUUAGAUGUAUAAUUAUAUAGAUACAUCUAUUAUAUUUGAAAA
Molecule: long non-coding RNA, 1246 nt
Organism: Hydra vulgaris (swiftwater hydra)
Lineage: Eukaryota; Metazoa; Cnidaria; Hydrozoa; Anthoathecata; Hydridae
Source: RefSeq, a predicted model, not a curated record